GUGCAAUGGCAUAAGCCAGCUUGACUGCGAGCGUGACGGCGCGAGCAGGUGCGAAAGCAGGUCAUAGUGAUCCGGUGGUUCUGAAUGGAAGGGCCAUCGCUCAACGGAUAAAAGGUACUCCGGGGAUAACAGGCUGAUACCGCCCAAGAGUUCAUAUCGACGGCGGUGUUUGGCACCUCGAUGUCGGCUCAUCACAUCCUGGGGCUGAAGUAGGUCCCAAGGGUAUGGCUGUUCGCCAUUUAAAGUGGUACGCGAGCUGGGUUUAGAACGUCGUGAGACAGUUCGGUCCCUAUCUGCCGUGGGCGCUGGAGAACUGAGGGGGGCUGCUCCUAGUACGAGAGGACCGGAGUGGACGCAUCACUGGUGUUCGGGUUGUCAUGCCAAUGGCACUGCCCGGUAGCUAAAUGCGGAAGAGAUAAGUGCUGAAAGCAUCUAAGCACGAAACUUGCCCCGAGAUGAGUUCUCCCUGAGACUUUAAGUCUCCUGAAGGAACGUUGAAGACGACGACGUUGAUAGGCCGGGUGUGUAAGCGCAGCGAUGCGUUGAGCUAACCGGUACUAAUGAACCGUGAGGCUUAACCUUACAACGCCGAAG
This 594-nucleotide ribosomal RNA is filed under the name Salmonella enterica subsp. enterica serovar Cerro. RNAcentral describes it as "partial 23S ribosomal RNA". It matches the Rfam family "Bacterial large subunit ribosomal RNA", at positions 2349 to 2925 of the family's 2925-position model. The record is from RNAcentral. Lineage: Bacteria; Pseudomonadati; Pseudomonadota; Gammaproteobacteria; Enterobacterales; Enterobacteriaceae.